UCAAAGGCCCUUCUCAGGGCCACCCAUGAAGUCUGUGAAAGAGCUG
Gorilla gorilla gorilla (western lowland gorilla) is the source of this 46-nucleotide non-coding RNA. NCBI's taxonomy places the organism in Eukaryota, Metazoa, Chordata, Mammalia, Primates, Hominidae. The record is from Rfam.